GACGAACGCUGGCGGCGUGCCUAAUACAUGCAGGUAGAACGCUGAAGGAGGAGCUUGCUCUUCUGGACGAGUUGCGAACGGGUGAGUAACGCGUAGGUAACCUGCCUGGUAGCGGGGGAUAACUAUUGGAAACGAUAGCUAAUACCGCAUAACAGUUGAUGUUGCAUGACAUUUGAUUAAAAGGUGCAAUUGCACCACUACCAGAUGGACCUGCGUUGUUUUAGGUAGUUGGUGGGGUAACGGCUCACCAAGGCGACGAUACAUAGUCGACCUGAGAGGGGGGUCCGCCAAACUGGGACUGGAACACGGCCCAGACCCCCACGGGAAGCAGCAGUAGGGAAACUUCGGCAAUUGACGGAAGGCUGAACGGGCAAAGCCGCGUGAGUGAAGAAAGGUUUCGGAUCGUAAAGCUCUGUUGUAAGAGAAGAAAGAGUGUGAGAGUGGAAAGUUCACACUGUGACGGUAUCUUACCAGAAAGCGACGGCUAACUACGUG
This 495-nucleotide ribosomal RNA is filed under the name uncultured bacterium. RNAcentral's name for it is "partial 16S ribosomal RNA". It matches the Rfam family "Bacterial small subunit ribosomal RNA", at positions 28 to 507 of the family's 1533-position model. The record is from RNAcentral.